This is a regulatory RNA element of 70 nucleotides. It matches the Rfam family "Tombus virus defective interfering (DI) RNA region 3". The record is from Rfam.
AGCGAGUAAGACAGACUCUUCAGUCUGAGUUUGUGGAGAUGAGUGUAAAUCUGGCAUAGCAUACAGGUUA